GACGAACCGUGCGAACGUUAUUCGGAAUCACUGGGCUUAAAGCGCGUGUAGGCGGGACGGCACGUCGGUCGCUGAAAUCCCCCGGCUUAACCGGGGAACGGGCGUCGAUACGACCGUCCUGGAGGGGCGUAGGGGGACCUGGAACUUCCGGUGGAGCGGUGAAAUGCGUUGAGAUCGGAAGGAACGCCCGUGGCGAAAGCGAGGUCCUGGACGCCUACUGACGCUGAGACGCGAAAGCCAGGGGAGCGGAACGGG
This 255-nucleotide ribosomal RNA is filed under the name uncultured bacterium. RNAcentral's name for it is "partial 16S ribosomal RNA". It matches the Rfam family "Bacterial small subunit ribosomal RNA", at positions 524 to 776 of the family's 1533-position model. The record is from RNAcentral.